GGGAAUCGGGUGAGCGGCGGAGGGUUAGUAACGCGUGGGAAUAUGCCCCUCACUACGGAAUAGCCUCGGGAAACUGAGAGUAAUACCGUAUACGCCCUUUGGGGGAAAGAUUUAUCGGUGAAGGAUUAGCCCGCGUCUGAUUAGAUAGUUGGUGGGGUAACGGCCUACCAAGUCGACGAUCAGUAGCUGGUUUGAGAGGAUGAUCAGCAACACUGGGACUGAGACACGGCCCAGACUCCUACGGGAGGCAGCAGUGGGGAAUCUUAGACAAUGGGCGCAAGCCUGAUCUAGCCAUGCCGCGUGAGUGACGAAGGCCUUAGGGUCGUAAAGCUCUUUCGCCAGGGAUGAUAAUGACAGUACCUGGUAAAGAAACCCCGGCUAACUCCGUGCCAGCAGCCGCGGUAAUACGGAGGGGGUUAGCGUUGUUCGGAAUUACUGGGCGUAAAGUGCGCGUAGGCGGAUUGGAAAGUUGGGGGUGAAAUCCCGGGGCUCAACCCCGGAACUGCCUCCAAAACUAUCAGUCUAGAGUUCGAGAGAGGUGAGUGGAAUUCCGAGUGUAGAGGUGAAAUUCGUAGAUAUUCGGAGGAACACCAGUGGCGAAGGCGGCUCACUGGCUCGAUACUGACGCUGAGGUGCGAAAGUGUGGGGA
This 649-nucleotide ribosomal RNA is filed under the name uncultured bacterium. Its description in RNAcentral is "bacterial SSU rRNA". It matches the Rfam family "Bacterial small subunit ribosomal RNA", at positions 82 to 767 of the family's 1533-position model. The record is from RNAcentral.